UGAGAUAACGACGUGGUAUCGAUCUACCUUUUAGUCGGGGGCUAAGCCCUGGGAAACCGGGGCUAAUACCUGCAUUAAGCCUGUAAGUAAGUGCGAAAGCAUGCAAUGCGCUGAAACGAGGAGUCCUGCGGGCCGAUUAGACUAGUUCGGUGAGGUCAAUCGGGCCACCAAGGCGAUUGAUCGGUAGCCGGCCUGAGAGAGGCACACGGCCACACUGGCACUGAAACACGGGCCAGACUCCUACGGGAGGCAGCAGUGGGGAAUCUUGCGCAAUGGGCGAAAGCCUGACGCAGCG
RNAcentral lists this ribosomal RNA (295 nucleotides) under uncultured bacterium. RNAcentral describes it as "partial 16S ribosomal RNA". It matches the Rfam family "Bacterial small subunit ribosomal RNA", at positions 107 to 393 of the family's 1533-position model. The record is from RNAcentral.